GAUGAACGCUGGCGGCGUGCCUAAUACAUGCAAGUCGAGCGAACGGACGAGAAGCUUGCUUUUCUGAUGUUAGCGGCGGACGGGUGAGUAACACGUGGAUAACCUACCUAUAAGACUGGGAUAACUUCGGGAAACCGGAGCUAAUACCGGAUAAUAUUUUGAACCGCAUGGUUCAAAAGUGAAAGACGGUCUUGCUGUCACUUAUAGGUGGAUCCGCGCUGCAUUAGCUAGUUGGUAAGGUAACGGCUUACCAAGGCAACGAUGCAUAGCCGACCUGAGAGGGUGAUCGGCCACACUGGAACUGAGACACGGUCCAGACUCCUACGGGAGGCAGCAGUAGGGAAUCUUCCGCAAAGGGCGAAAGCCUGACGGAGCAACGCCGCGUGAGUGAUGAAGGUCUUCGGAUCGUAAAACUCUGUUAUUAGGGAAGAACAUAUGUGUAAGUAACUGUGCACAUCUUGACGGUACCUAAUCAGAAAGCCACGGCUAACUACGUG
RNAcentral lists this ribosomal RNA (497 nucleotides) under uncultured bacterium. RNAcentral's name for it is "partial 16S ribosomal RNA". It matches the Rfam family "Bacterial small subunit ribosomal RNA", at positions 28 to 507 of the family's 1533-position model. The record is from RNAcentral.